Saccostrea cuccullata (small rock oyster) is the source of this 571-nucleotide long non-coding RNA. RefSeq lists it as uncharacterized. The transcript has 2 exons. Lineage: Eukaryota; Metazoa; Mollusca; Bivalvia; Ostreida; Ostreidae. The record is from RefSeq and is a predicted model, not a curated record.
GCUGUCUGCUUAAUAUUUUAUGAUAUCGAUUUUUCGUCUCCUAACUGCUGAAAAGCAAGUAUCCAUUGAUCGACAAAAUACUGCGAUGCGGUAAGCUGUCACAGUGAUGGAAUCAAAACAAAUGGUUGCAGGACAUCAUCUUCGAAGUUGACACAAUUAAUUUUUCAAAUGUAGUAAGAUCUAAAAAUAGCCAUGGCUUUUCUUUGGGACACCGGAAGACAGAAACUGAGUGCUCUAUUGGCAGUUCUGGUUGUCAUAGAGAUCUUUAUCAUCUGUGUUGUUGUUCGCUAUGAGCACAAAUCGGCAAUUACGCAUGCGCUACUGAGACAAGAAAUGGAAGUUCGACGAGUCACGCCGCGAAGUAUCGACGGAAUAUAAAUACCUUAAUUGUUCCUCUGCAAUAAGAGAUUUAAAUUGUAUCUGUGCAACGAAUUUAGUUUGGGAUCACAGAUGGGAAACUAUAUUCACCCAAUGGCAUGCAGUAUUACAACUUAUAUAGACAGGACGGACAAAAUACUAUGCACUUAAACUUAACUUGCAAAAUUGAUGAUCAAAUAAAACCCUGAAUUUU